UACGGGGGGGCAAGCGUUGUUCGGAUUACUGGGCGUAAAGCGCACGUAGGCGGAUCGAUCAGUCAGGGGUGAAAUCCCAGGGCUCAACCCUGGAACUGCCUUUGAUACUGUCGAUCUGGAGUAUGGAAGAGGUGAGUGGAAUUCCGAGUGUAGAGGUGAAAUUCGUAGAUAUUCGGAAAGAACACCAGUGGCGAAGGCGGCUCACUGGACUGGUAUUGACGCUGAGGUGCGAAAGCGUGGGGAGCAAACA
RNAcentral lists this ribosomal RNA (250 nucleotides) under uncultured bacterium. RNAcentral's name for it is "partial 16S ribosomal RNA". It matches the Rfam family "Bacterial small subunit ribosomal RNA", at positions 524 to 774 of the family's 1533-position model. The record is from RNAcentral.